This 497-nucleotide ribosomal RNA is filed under the name uncultured bacterium. RNAcentral's name for it is "bacterial SSU rRNA". It matches the Rfam family "Bacterial small subunit ribosomal RNA", at positions 899 to 1397 of the family's 1533-position model. The record is from RNAcentral.
ACUCAAAGGAAUAGACGGGGGCCCGCACAAGCAGAGGAGCAUGUGGCUUAAUUCGAUGCAACGCGAAGAACCUUACCCGGGUUUGACAUGCAGCUGCACGGCCGAUGAAAGUCGGCCUCCUUCGAGGGUGCUGCACAGGUGCUGCAUGGCUGUCGUCAGUUCGUGCCGUGAGGUGUUUGGUUAAGUCCAGCAACGAACGCAACCCCUGUGUCCAGUUGCCAUCAGGUAACGCUGGGAACUCUGGACAGACUGCCCGUUCACACGGGAGGAAGGUGGGGACGACGUCAAGUCAGUAUGGCCCUUACACCCGGGGCCGCACACGUGCUACAAUGGCCGGCACAGAGGGAAGCGAAGCCGCGAGGCCGAGCCAACCCCCAAAACCGGCCCCAGUUCGGAUCGGGGUCUGCAACCCGACCCCGUGAAGUCGGAUUUGCUAGUAACGGCGCAUCAGCUACGGCGCCGUGAAUACGUUCCCGGGCCUUGUACACACCGCCCGU